UGCAAUCUAUGAUGCAAAACGUCCUAUUAUCAUGAUUUUGCAGUGAUUAUAACUAAAAUUAUCACCAUCUUUCGGCUGAGAUUGCA
Molecule: non-coding RNA, 86 nt
Organism: Eucalyptus grandis
Lineage: Eukaryota; Viridiplantae; Streptophyta; Magnoliopsida; Myrtales; Myrtaceae
Source: Rfam